UAUUAGCACAUAUGUCAAAUUCCUAAUUAACGUUUAAUUUUUAUACCCAUCGUUUCUUAGAGCCGUAAUUGUGCUGAUAUCAAAACCAGGGAAGAACCUACCAUAUAGAAGUGCUAAAUGCACUUAACGAUCGCGGCGCCUCCUCGGCCACGGGCGUGUUUGGACACUAUUCCCACAUAU
This 180-nucleotide small nucleolar RNA is filed under the name Saccharomyces paradoxus NRRL Y-17217. Its description in RNAcentral is "Small nucleolar RNA snR85". It matches the Rfam family "Small nucleolar RNA snR85". Lineage: Eukaryota; Fungi; Ascomycota; Saccharomycetes; Saccharomycetales; Saccharomycetaceae. The record is from Rfam by way of RNAcentral.